GUAAAGGUGAAUAGGGAUUGUUGGGGGGCUUCGUAUUUGAGCGGCCGAGGUGAAAUUCUUGGAUUUGUUGAAGACGGACUACUGCGAAAGUCAUCUGCCAAGAUGUUCUCAUUGAUCAAGAACGAAAGUUAGGUGAUCGAAGACGAUCAGAUACCGUCCUAG
Molecule: ribosomal RNA, 162 nt
Filed under: uncultured Syndiniales
Lineage: Eukaryota; Dinophyceae; Syndiniales
Description: partial 18S ribosomal RNA
Rfam family: Eukaryotic small subunit ribosomal RNA
Source: RNAcentral